CCUACGGGAGGCAGCAGUGGGGAAUCUUGGACAAUGGGCGCAAGCCUGAUCCAGCCAUGCCGCGUGAGUGACGAAGGCCUUAGGGUUGUAAAGCUCUUUUGCCGGGGACGAUAAUGACGGUACCCGGAGAAUAAGUCCCGGCUAACUUCGUGCCAGCAGCCGCGGUAAU
This 169-nucleotide ribosomal RNA is filed under the name uncultured alpha proteobacterium GT25-1. Its description in RNAcentral is "partial 16S ribosomal RNA". It matches the Rfam family "Bacterial small subunit ribosomal RNA", at positions 338 to 524 of the family's 1533-position model. Lineage: Bacteria; Pseudomonadati; Pseudomonadota; Alphaproteobacteria. The record is from RNAcentral.